AUGGUACUCCCUCCGUCCGAAAAAGCUUGUCCCUCAAAUGAAUGUAUCUAGCACCAAGUUAGUGCUAGAUACAUCCAUUUGAAGAACAAGCUUGGGACAUUUUUUCCGGAUGGAGGAAGUACUGA
This is a non-coding RNA of Triticum urartu, 125 nucleotides long. Lineage: Eukaryota; Viridiplantae; Streptophyta; Magnoliopsida; Poales; Poaceae. The record is from Rfam.